Molecule: ribosomal RNA, 339 nt
Filed under: uncultured bacterium
Lineage: Bacteria
Description: bacterial SSU rRNA
Rfam family: Bacterial small subunit ribosomal RNA
Source: RNAcentral
AAUCAACGCUGGCGGCGUGCCUAACACAUGCAAGUCGAACGCGAAAGCCCGCAAGGGUAAGUAGAGUGGCGCACGGGUGAGUAACACGUGGACAACCUGCCUUCGAGUGGGGAAUAACCUUCCGAAAGGAGGGCUAAUACCGCAUAACACCUCGGGACACAAGUUCUGGGGUUGAAAAGAGCAAUUUGCUCGAAGAGGGGUCCGCGCCUGAUUAGCUAGUUGGUGAGGUAACGGCUCACCAAGGCUUCGAUCAGUAGCCGUCCUGAGAGGGAGCACGGCCACACUGGAACUGAGACACGGUCCAGACUCCUACGGGAGGCAGCAGUGGGGAAUUUUUGG